CACAGAGGUGGCAAGCGUUGUUCGGAAUUACUGGGCGUAAAGGGCGCGUAGGCGGCUUGCCAAGUCAGGGGUGAAAUCCUGCAGCUUAACUGUAGAAGUGCCUUUGAUACUGGCGAGCUCGAGGGAGGUAGGGGUAUGUGGAACUUCCGGUGGAGCGGUGAAAUGCGUUGAUAUCGGAAGGAACGCCGGUGGCGAAAGCGACGUACUGGACCUCUUCUGACGCUGAGGCGCGAAAGCUAGGGGAGCAAACGGG
Molecule: ribosomal RNA, 253 nt
Filed under: uncultured bacterium
Lineage: Bacteria
Description: partial 16S ribosomal RNA
Rfam family: Bacterial small subunit ribosomal RNA
Source: RNAcentral